AUGGGCCCCCUCCAGCCUGGAGCUGGGAGCCACGGAAGCCAGCCCAGAAAGCUCCCAGCAGCAGCGGCCGUGGGACCGAGGAGGGUCCCCACGUGGCUAGACCACCCCUCUCCCUCCCUCUCCUGCCUGCCCCCCAGCUUCAGGCCACUGCUCCCCAGGCUGGGGGCUCUGGGUGGAGGGGGCAGUCACCCCAAGGCUCCGGGGGAGAUGAGUUGCCACCCGACCAGCACUGGAGAAAUGCCCCAGGCGGCUUCUCCCCAGUUCCCCUUUGAAGUUCCGUCUGCCACCUUGGGCCCUGCCGGUGACACUCCCCACUGCGCGCCCCACCCGCUGCUGACCCAGAGCUGGGUGCCGGAGGCCAGGGGACCUGCCCGCACCCAGGACGCCGGCCCCUCGCCCACACUCACCUUGCAGACACAGUGCGAGCAGCUGGAGCCCCAGGCGGCGCAUGGCCCGGGCGCAGGGUGGGGAUCCGGGGCCGGGACCUGGGGGAGCGUGCAGAUCCGGGGCCGGGACGGGGGGCGUGCUCCGGGCUCACGGUGGGGAUCCGGGGCCGGGACUGGGGGCGUGCUCCGGGCUCACGGUGGGGAUCCGGGGCCGGGACUGGGGGCGUGCUCCGGGCUCACGGUGGGGAUCCGGGGCCGGGACUGGGGGCGUGCUCCGGGCGCACGGUGGGGAUCCGGGGCCGGGACCGGGGGGAGCGCAGGGAUCCGGGGCCAGGACGGGGGUGUGCUCCAGGCACACGGCGGGGAUCCGGGGCCAGGACAGGGGUGCGCUCCAGGCACACGGCGGGGAUCCGGGGCCGGCACAGGACCUGAGCGCUGUGUGCGGGAUCCAGGUUCCAGGGACGCUGUGCUGGCGGGAGGCGGCUGUGUGCUAGGGACUAGGUCGGGCCCCGCCCCGAGACGAGCCCCUGGCCCGCAGUUUAUCAGCUCAUCGGCCCCUCAGACGCCGGGAGGGGCGGGGCUUGGGGCCCACAGGGUGGGGCUCGCUCUCGGGGUUCCCUGCGUCCCUCCUGGGCCCCUGGGGGCUCCUGAUCGGCUCCUGGCGUCCAGCAUGGGGCGGGGGAGGAUAGAAUGA
This 1080-nucleotide long non-coding RNA is filed under the name Vulpes vulpes (red fox). Its description in RNAcentral is "lncRNA (ENSVVUG00000000789.1)". The record is from RNAcentral. Lineage: Eukaryota; Metazoa; Chordata; Mammalia; Carnivora; Canidae.